GGAGGAAAGUAGGGGAUCGAAAGACCUUAUGCUUUUGGAGCGGCCGAUGUCUGAUUAGCUAGUUGGUAAGGUAAUGGCUUACCAAGGCAACGAUCAGUAGUUGGUCUGAGAGGACGACCAGCCACACUGGGACUGAGACACGGCCCAGACUCCUACGGGAGGCAGCAGUGGGGAAUUUUGGACAAUGGGCGCAAGCCUGAUCCAGCAAUGCCGCGUGAGUGAAGAAGGCCUUCGGGUUGUAAAGCUCUUUCAGUUGAGAAGAAAAGAUUGUGACUAAUAAUUGCAAUUCAUGACGGUAUCAACAGAAGAAGCACCGGCUAACUACGUGCCAGCAGCCGCGGUAAUACGUAGGGUGCGAGCGUUAAUCGGAAUUACUGGGCGUAAAGGGUGCGCAGGCGGUUCUGUAAGUCAGAUGUGAAAUCCCCGGGCUUAACCUGGGAACUGCGUUUGAAACUACAAAGCUAGAA
This 467-nucleotide ribosomal RNA is filed under the name uncultured Nitrosomonas sp. Its description in RNAcentral is "bacterial SSU rRNA". It matches the Rfam family "Bacterial small subunit ribosomal RNA", at positions 198 to 646 of the family's 1533-position model. Lineage: Bacteria; Pseudomonadati; Pseudomonadota; Betaproteobacteria; Nitrosomonadales; Nitrosomonadaceae. The record is from RNAcentral.